GACGAACCGUGCGAACGUUGUUCGGAAUCACUGGGCUUAAAGGGUGCGUAGGCGGGUUGUCCAGUCGGGGGUGAAAUCCCACGGCUCAACCGUGGAACUGCCACAGAUACUGGCGACCUCGAGGGAGGUAGGGGCGAGCGGAACUGUGGGUGGAGCGGUGAAAUGCGUUGAUAUCCACAGGAACUCCGGUGGCGAAGGCGGCUCGCUGGACCUCUUCUGACGCUGAGGCACGAAAGCUAGGGGAGCAAACGGG
This 253-nucleotide ribosomal RNA is filed under the name uncultured bacterium. Its description in RNAcentral is "partial 16S ribosomal RNA". It matches the Rfam family "Bacterial small subunit ribosomal RNA", at positions 524 to 776 of the family's 1533-position model. The record is from RNAcentral.